Molecule: ribosomal RNA, 253 nt
Filed under: uncultured bacterium
Lineage: Bacteria
Description: partial 16S ribosomal RNA
Rfam family: Bacterial small subunit ribosomal RNA
Source: RNAcentral
UACGGGGGGGGCAAGCGUUGUUCGGAAUUACUGGGCGUAAAGGGCUCGUAGGCGGCCAACUAAGUCAGACGUGAAAUCCCUCGGCUUAACCGGGGAACUGCGUCUGAUACUGGAUGGCUUGAGUUUGGGAGAGGGAUGCGGAAUUCCAGGUGUAGCGGUGAAAUGCGUAGAGAUCGGGUGGAACACCAGUGGCGAAGGCGAGUCUCUGGACAUUUCCUGACGCUGAGGCACGAAAGCCAGGGGAGCAAACGGG